CCUACGGGAGGCAGCAGUGGGGAAUAUUGCACAAUGGGGGAAACCCUGAUGCAGCGACGCCGCGUGAGUGAAGAAGUAUUUCGGUGUGUAAAGCCCUAUCAGCAGGAACGAGACAAGACGGUACCUGACUCAGAAGCCCCGGCUAACUACGUGCCAGCAGCCGCGGUAAUACGUAGGGGCCAAGCGUUACCCGGAAUCACUGGGGGUAAAGGGAGCGUAGACGGCUGAGCAAGUCAGAUGUGAAAACUCAGGGCUCAACCCUGAGCCUGCAUUUGAAACUGUUUUUCUUGAGUGCUGGAGAGGCAAUCGGAAUUCCGUGUGUAGCGGUGAAAUGCGUAGAUAUACGGAGGAACACCAGUGGCGAAGGCGGAUUGCUGGACAGUAACUGACGCUGAGGCGCGAAAGCGUGGGGAGCAAACAGGAUUAGAUACCCCUGUAGUC
RNAcentral lists this ribosomal RNA (441 nucleotides) under uncultured bacterium. RNAcentral describes it as "partial 16S ribosomal RNA". It matches the Rfam family "Bacterial small subunit ribosomal RNA", at positions 338 to 795 of the family's 1533-position model. The record is from RNAcentral.